GACGAACGCUGACGGCGUGUUUAACACAUGCAAGUCGAAGGGAGUGGCGAACGGGUGAGUAACACGUGAGUAACCUGCCCUUUUCUUUGGGAUAAGCCUGGGAAACUGGGUCUAAUACUGGAUGGAUUGGGUUGGGCUCGCGGCUUAUCAGCUUGUUGGUGGGGUGAUGGCUUACCAAGGCUUUGACGGGUAGCCGGCCUGUGAAGGUGGUCGGUCACACUGGGACUGGGGUACGGCCCAGAAUCCUACAGGGUGAAACAGUGAAGGAUAUUAAACAAUGGACGAAAGUCUGAUUCAGCGGCGUCGUGUGGAGGAUGACGGCCUUCGGGUUGUAAACUCCUUACGCCCGCGGAAUGGUGGUGGGUACAGAAACGCCGGCUAACUACGUGCCAGCAGCCGCGGUAAUAC
This 408-nucleotide ribosomal RNA is filed under the name uncultured bacterium. RNAcentral describes it as "partial 16S ribosomal RNA". It matches the Rfam family "Bacterial small subunit ribosomal RNA", at positions 28 to 526 of the family's 1533-position model. The record is from RNAcentral.